This 29-nucleotide non-coding RNA is filed under the name Mus musculus (house mouse). Lineage: Eukaryota; Metazoa; Chordata; Mammalia; Rodentia; Muridae. The record is from RNAcentral.
UAAUGGCAUGACUCGGUUGGACCUUUGGU